Cyprinus carpio (common carp) is the source of this 1938-nucleotide long non-coding RNA. The record is from Ensembl. Lineage: Eukaryota; Metazoa; Chordata; Actinopteri; Cypriniformes; Cyprinidae.
AUGGUGAUACCAGUCUGGGUUUCAUCUAAAAAUGAUCCAACGACUGAGAAACUUGUCUAUGCACUACUCGACACUCAAAGCGACACUACGUUUAUUGACCAAGAAGUGAGUGAUGGUCUUAAUGCUGACAAGUAUCCAGUGAAAUUGAAGUUGACGACUAUGAGUGGUAAAGAUACAGUGCUCACAAGCGAAGGUGUUUCUGGACUUCAUGUUAGAGGAUAUAGUUCCGCAGUUCAAGUUGAUCUUCCGGUCGCCUAUACAAAGGACUGCAUACCUGUUAACCGCUCUCACAUUCCCACUUGUGAGACGGCUAAACAAUGGAGUCAUCUUGCAGAAAUAGUGGAUGAAAUCCAACCACUGAAGGACUGUGUAGUAGGUCUUUUGAUCGGCUACAACUGCUCAAGAGCUAUGGCACCAAGGCAAGUCCUUUUAGGAGAAGACAAGGAACCCUACGCUGUAAGGACGGAUUUAGGAUGGAGUAUUGUAGGGCGCUCACUACAAACCCAUGAUGUGUUGAGCACAUAUCAUUUGUGUCACAGAAUAACAGUUAAGGAGCUACCUCCGAUAACUCCUACCGACGUCUUUCGCAUUUUAGAGUCUGACUUCAAAGAUGGCAGUGAUGACAGCAAAAUUGUGUCACAAGACGACAUCACAUUCCUCAACAUACUGGAUGAGGGAAUAAGGAAAAACAUACAUGGCCAUUUUGAGAUGCCUCUGCCAUUCAAAACCAGACCCAGCUUGCCUGACAACAAGGGCUCAGCUAUGACACGCCUCCUUCACCUUAAAAGGAAAUUGCAACGGGAUGAAAGGUUUAGGAAGCUUUAUGUUGAGUUCAUGGAGGAAGUCAUUGGAAACGGAGAUGCUGAGCAGGUCAGGGACGGUGGGAGUGAAGGAGAGAGAUGGUACAUUCCCCAUCAUGGUGUGCAUCAUGCGAAGAAGCCAGAUAAACUUCGUGUAGUGUUCGAUUGCUCAGCCAGAUACAAAGGAACAAGCUUGAAUGAUCACCUCCUCUCUGGGCCUGACAUGUUGAACAACUUAAGUGGAGUUCUCAUCCGUUUCCGACAGCACCCCAUUGCAUUGAUGUGCGACAUUCAGAAAAUGUUCCAUCAGUUUCAUGUGGUCGAAGCUGAUCGCAACUUCCUGCGCUUUCUUUGGUGGAAGCAAGGAGAUUUGAACUCACAGCCCAGCGAGUUUCGCAUGAAAGUGCAUCUGUUCGGUGCAGCUUCCUCUCCGGGGUGUGCAAACUAUGGGAUGAAACAUCUAGCUAAGGAGAAUCGCGACAUCUACACUCAAGGCUCGAGAUUUGUUAUGAGGGACUUUUAUGUAGAUGAUGGGCUCGCAAGUGUUGAAAACACUGAAGAUGCUAUUCAGCUUGCCAGGGAAGCUCGUGAACUCUGUGCCAUGGGUGGUCUCCGACUACAUAAGUUUGUGUCUAAUGACAGAAAGGUAUUAGAGAGUAUACCACCCUCUGAACGAGCAACCAACGUGAAGGAUAUGGAUCUCGCAUUUGAUGAUUUGCCACUUGAGAGGGCUCUCGGGAUUCAAUGGGAUGUGGAGUGUGUCCGCUUCAGGCUUAACGUCAGCCUCAAGGAACAGCCAGCGACACGACGUGGCAUUUUAUCUACAGUGGCUUCUCUGUACGAUCCUCUUGGGUUUGUGGCGCCAGUCGUCCUCAAAGCGAAGAUCAUUCUCCAGGAGAUGUGCAGACGGGGCACUGGCUGGGACGAUCCUCUCACUGACGAGCUUUGCCCAAAAUGGGAACAAUGGAGAAGUGAUCUAGCCCACUUAGAUAAUCUCACCAUAUCCCGUACCUACUCACCUGCUGGAUUUGGAAGGGUCUCAAAGACAGAGCUGCAUCAUUUCUCUGAUGCCAGUAUGAAGGGUUACGGCCAGUGUUCAUACCUGCGACUCCAAAACGAAGAGGGUGAUAUUCAUUGA